This 69-nucleotide transfer RNA is filed under the name Bos taurus (domestic cattle). It matches the Rfam family "tRNA". From Rfam's summary of the family: Transfer RNA (tRNA) molecules are approximately 80 nucleotides in length. Their secondary structure includes four short double-helical elements and three loops (D, anti-codon, and T loops). Lineage: Eukaryota; Metazoa; Chordata; Mammalia; Artiodactyla; Bovidae. RNAcentral also lists the same sequence under 4 other names. The record is from Rfam by way of RNAcentral.
CCUGAUGGCUCAGAGGUUAAAGCAUCUGCCUGCAAUGUGGGAGACCUGGGUUCGAUCCCUGGGUCAGGA